Molecule: long non-coding RNA, 796 nt
Filed under: Oryza brachyantha (malo sina)
Lineage: Eukaryota; Viridiplantae; Streptophyta; Magnoliopsida; Poales; Poaceae
Description: long non-coding RNA (OBRA_LNC003470)
Source: RNAcentral
CAGACCUUACCCUUUUUUUUAAUCCCUUUUAUCCUCUGCCUAAUAGAAACCCACACACAAACACAUGAGUUCGCAGGAGCUGCAGUCUAGAGAGAGGGGGAGGAGAGGAGAGUGAGAGAGACAAAGCAUAAAGGCACUGCGGAGAAGCUGGACGCCGUGAAGAAAUCUGUAGCCUGAGAGAGAGAGAGAGAGAGAGAGUGAGGAAGAAGGGAGGGUGAUUCUCUGAUCUGGAGCUCGUUGGGGGGAAAGGAGUUGGGAGAAUCUCAUGGGAGCUUUGAAGAAAUGGGGAAAAGAAGCUCCUUGAUCCGUUCUUGAGCCGGAAAAAGUGAUCUUUCGGGUCGUGUGGCUGGAGAAAUUUGGAUCUUGAGGCUAACGGAGGACAACGCCUCGAUUCUUCCGGCGCUCCGUUGCUGCAUUGCCUUCUUGUCCCCAGAUCCGAGCUGCCGUGCGAGGAAAAGCCGGAUCUUUUGCCUGCGUUCUUCCCAAAUCCGCCCAAAUUUUGAGCUCUUGAGCUGUUUCAUGGUAGCCCCGUGCUAGCUUCAAAUCUUUUUCAGAAAGAACAUUUGUUUAGUUGGGGGUUAGAUAUGGCAGGGAUUCGGACUACUUUAUGAGCUGUCUCCUGCCAUUUUUUUUAGAGUAGAUUCGUCAGUAAUGGCGGAUCUUGCCAUGGAGUAGUAGCAGGGGUUUCCUUCGGUGAUAGCGAAGCGUACUAGCCAUAAGCGGCGAUGUCUCUGAAGAGCAUUGUGCGGGAACUGAGGGAGAUGAGGGAUGGCAUCGGCAGCAUGUCGAGGCGAGC